UACGUAGGUGGCAAGCGUUGUCCGGAAUUAUUGGGCGUAAAGCGCGCGCAGGCGGUCCUUUAAGUCUGAUGUGAAAGCCCACGGCUCAACCGUGGAGGGUCAUUGGAAACUGGGGGACUUGAGUGCAGGAGAGAAGAGUGGAAUUCCACGUGUAGCGGUGAAAUGCGUAGAGAUGUGGAGGAACACCAGUGGCGAAGGCGGCUCUUUGGUCUGCAACUGACGCUGAGGCGCGAAAGCGUGGGGAGCAAACAGG
RNAcentral lists this ribosomal RNA (253 nucleotides) under uncultured bacterium. RNAcentral describes it as "partial 16S ribosomal RNA". It matches the Rfam family "Bacterial small subunit ribosomal RNA", at positions 524 to 776 of the family's 1533-position model. The record is from RNAcentral.